Molecule: non-coding RNA, 744 nt
Filed under: Psylliodes circumdatus
Lineage: Eukaryota; Metazoa; Arthropoda; Insecta; Coleoptera; Chrysomelidae
Source: RNAcentral
UAAAAAUUUUAUAUUGGUUUUAUUAUUAAGUAUUAUUUUUUAUUAUAUGUUAAUUUUUAUUAGAUAAUAAAUUUGCAGUAAUUAAAUUUAAAUAUUCAAGUAAUUGAGAUUUAGAAAUAAUAAAUAAUAUAAACAAAAUUUGUGCCAGCAGUUGCGGUUACACAAAUUAUAUAAUUUAAUUUAUUUAAUUUUAAUUAGUUAGUAAAUAAAUUUUAAAUUAAAAUUUAUUUAGUGAAAUUUUAAAUUUUUAAUUAAAUUUUGAGAUAAAGUAUAUUAAUAAAUUUUAAAUAUAAACUAGGAUUAGAUACCCUAUUAUUUAAUAUGUAAAAUAUAAAAAUUAAAUUAGUAUUAGUUAUGUUCUUGAAAAUUAAAAAAUUUGGCGGUAUUUUAGUCUUUUCAGAGGAACCUGUUUUAUAAAUGAUAUUCCACGAUUUAAUUUACUUUUUUUAUUAGCUUAUAUAUCAUCGUAAUAAAAUAUUUUUAAAGAAAUAAAAUGUUUAAAAUUUUUAUUAGAAAAUAUUUCAGAUCAAGGUGUAGUUUAUAAAAAAGUAAAAAUGGGUUACAUUAAAUUUAUUUGAGGAUGCUUAUUUUUAUAAAUAUUUUAAAUAUGGAUUUGAAAGUAAUUUUAAUUAAUUAAUUAAAAUGAUUUUAGCUCUAAAAUAUGUACAUAUUGCCCGUCGCUUUCAUUUAAAAUGAAAUAAGUCGUAACAAAGUAGAUUUACUGGAAAGUGAAUCUAGAUUCAA